This is an RNA transcript of Molossus molossus (Pallas's mastiff bat), 615 nucleotides long. It is a transcript of the gene named defensin beta 124, with no coding region annotated. The record is from RefSeq and is a predicted model, not a curated record. The transcript is spliced from 4 exons. Lineage: Eukaryota; Metazoa; Chordata; Mammalia; Chiroptera; Molossidae.
CGUGGCCCAGCCCUGAAGCCUAAUCUACCCUCACCAGCUGUGUGGCCCUGGGUGAGCCACUUUGGUGGCUCAUCCCCUCAGCUGAGUGGGGGAUACUACCACCUGUCUCAGGUGUUGCUGUGGAGACCGGAGAGAGGGCAGAGGAGAAGCUAGUCCAGCAGUGGAUCCAUAGCAGGGACGUAAGAAGUGAGCAUUCCUCAUCACUGGAGCUUGUCCAGAGCCUGAGCUCGAAAGCAUCGGCCAAUGCCAGAUAGAUCGACAUGACUAAUGAGAACUUCUCCCUGCAUCAAGUGUCUGCCUGAAAGGUAUGGUAGGGAGUCUGAAAGCCACCUGAACUCUGCUUAGAAGAGGCAGAACAAAAAGGCAUGUAGGAGGAGGAAAGAGACACUGUGAUCUUGGCUAUAGAAGAGAAGUCAGCUGUAGGGCACUGGUGAGUUUGGCCAUUCGUGGGGCCAGGAUCCAAGCUCUUGAGGAGAGUUCUUCUGUGUAGGUCAUGAGGAACUGGAGCGGGGAGAAGUGAAUUCAAACGGUGCUGGAAUGGCCAAGGAGCCUGCCGGACUUACUGCACAAGGCAAGAAACCUACAUGCAACUGUGCCCAGAUGCCUCUCUGUGCU